AGUGAACGCUGGCGGUAGGCCUAACACAUGCAAGUCGAACGGCAGCACAGUAAGAGCUUGCUCUUACGGGUGGCGAGUGGCGGACGGGUGAGGAAUACAUCGGAAUCUACUUUUUCGUGGGGGAUAACGUAGGGAAACUUACGCUAAUACCGCAUACGACCUACGGGUGAAAGCAGGGGAGCUUCGGACCUUGCGCGAUUGAAUGAGCCGAUGUCGGAUUAGCUAGUUGGCGGGGUAAAGGCCCACCAAGGCGACGAUCCGUAGCGGGUCUGAGAGGAUGAUCAGCCACACUGGAACUGAGACACGGUCCAGACUCCUACGGGAGGCAGCAGUGGGGAAUAUUGGACAAUGGGCGCAAGCCUGAUCCAGCCAUACCGCGUGGGUGAAGAAGGCCUUCGGGUUGUAAAGCCCUUUUGUUGGGAAAGAAAAGCAGCAGGUUAAUCCCCCGCUGUUCUGACGGUACCCAAAGAAUAAGCCCCGGCUAACUUCGUG
This 492-nucleotide ribosomal RNA is filed under the name uncultured bacterium. RNAcentral describes it as "partial 16S ribosomal RNA". It matches the Rfam family "Bacterial small subunit ribosomal RNA", at positions 29 to 507 of the family's 1533-position model. The record is from RNAcentral.